Molecule: ribosomal RNA, 498 nt
Filed under: uncultured bacterium
Lineage: Bacteria
Description: partial 16S ribosomal RNA
Rfam family: Bacterial small subunit ribosomal RNA
Source: RNAcentral
AUUGAACGCUGGCGGCAUGCUUCACACAUGCAAGUCGAACGGCAGCGCGGGGCAACCUGGCGGCGAGUGGCGAACGGGUGAGUAAUAUAUCGGAACGUACCCAGAAGUGGGGGAUAACGUAGCGAAAGUUACGCUAAUACCGCAUACGAUCUAAGGAUGAAAGUGGGGGACCUUCGGGCCUCAUGCUUUUGGAGCGGCCGAUAUCUGAUUGGCUAGUUGGUGAGGUAAAGGCUCACCAAGGCGACGAUCAGUAGCUGGUCUGAGAGGACGACCAGCCACACUGGAACUGAGACACGGUCCAGACUCCUACGGGAGGCAGCAGUGGGGAAUUUUGGACAAUGGGCGCAAGCCUGAUCCAGCAAUGCCGCGUGAGUGAAGAAGGCCUUCGGGUUGUAAAGCUCUUUUGUCAGGGAAGAAACGGCUUGGGCUAAUAUCCUGAGCUAAUGACGGUACCUGAAGAAUAAGCACCGGCUAACUACGUGCCAGCCGCCGCCGUAA